Molecule: non-coding RNA, 1127 nt
Organism: Physcomitrium patens
Lineage: Eukaryota; Viridiplantae; Streptophyta; Bryopsida; Funariales; Funariaceae
Source: RefSeq, a predicted model, not a curated record
AAGUUUCUUGGGCCGGGAGUUCCAUGUCUUCUUCCUCAUCCUCCUCUGGCAAGUCCUCUUGUACCUCGUCUGUGCCUCUCAUACGACCCAUAUCAAAGUUGUUUUCUGGUACCUCAUUUUCUUCAUCCUCGUCAACCCACAUAGUCCAGUCCACCUUCACAAAUUUGGGUGGCUUUCCUCCCGCCUUCAGCAACCUCGGCCACCAUCCCGUCUCCUUCUUCGCCAGCACCAACGUCGUGCGCCGCUGCUCCGUAUUCACAACGCUCUUCUCCACAUUGAUAGCCCCGUAGAGCUCUAGAUCGGCCUCAAAAGUGGUUAUUGACACCCACUGUCGCAGAAUACGUAAAACGGCCCUCUGUCUCCAACUUCACCUCUGGAUUUUUCGCAUCCAGCAGCUCCACCUUCAAGUACACCUUCUCAGAGCGUUGUGCUUACACCGUCCUGGAGUAUGACUUGCCACCUCCCCGAGACUAGCAAGCUGUCCCUAGAAUAGUGGUGUUCGAUUGAAAACCUGAUGUGGACGAUUUUUUUUGUGAACAUACUCAGAUGUGGAUUUAACUCUCACAGGAAGUUCUCUGUUUACCGGCUGGGAAGAAGCGGCUAUUUCUAUUAACUGCCUCAGUAGACAAGAAUGUCUCGCAGGGGCUUAGGACAAGGAAGAAGCAGCAGCGUGGGCUUACGAUCUUGCUGCUCUAAAAUAUUGGGGAUCAGGAACUAUAAUCAACUUUAAGAUACACGCAUAUUUCUUCGAGGAGGCUGGAGUUCUAAUUGUGUCCAACAAACCAACGCAUAUUUUAUGAUAUUUUAUGAUAUUAACGCUUGGAUUCGUGAUGGACUGAAAGAGGGUUGUAUUAAGCGUGAUAAUUUAUGAUAUCCGUGGAACACAUCCCAAGAAUAUUUUAUGAUGUGAAAUGCAAAAAUGCUGCUAGUAGCAAAAAACCUAGACCCGGUUUUUGUAAGCACAUUGUGUAUAAUAACAAGUGAAAUUGAUAUGUAGUUUAGUGAUCGUAGCCCAUUUACUGAGCUUUAUUGAAGCAAACAAUCGAACCCAAUUGAGAAAGUGUGGUGCUUAAGCCACAUUUGUAAAACAAUUCCAUGCUUCUAUGUCAUAUUCUAUAUUAACAUAA